This 2271-nucleotide ribosomal RNA is filed under the name Triticum aestivum (bread wheat). RNAcentral describes it as "partial small subunit ribosomal RNA". Lineage: Eukaryota; Viridiplantae; Streptophyta; Magnoliopsida; Poales; Poaceae. The record is from RNAcentral.
GAACAGAUAACGUCUUUCACUCCACUCCACUCUGCCUGCGCUCCCUCCAAUGGCGACCCCCGUCGCCUCCCCGCUCCUCCUCCCCUCCCCGGCCCCCCUCCCGGCCCCAACCUUCCCGCCCCGCCGCCUCACCGCCACCCGUCGCCUCCUCCUCGCCCCUCCCCCGCGCGCCGGCCGGCCGCGCCUCCGCGACCCGCCGCCGGCGCCGGUGGAGGAGGCCGCCGCCGCCGCGGCCGUGGAGGAGUACGAGGCGCCCCCGCUCAGGCUCCUCGACCCGCCGCAGGAGGAAGAGCCCUACCCCGACGAGAUGGAGGCGGCGGACCCGGACUUGUACCGGAUCGGGUACGCCCGGAUGAUGCGCGCCUACGGGGUCGAGUUCCUCGAGGGCCCCGACGGCAUGGGCGUCUACGCCUCCCGCGACGUCGACCCGCUCCGCCGAGCCAGGGUGAUAAUGGAGAUUCCAUUGGAGCUCAUGCUGACUAUAACUAAAAAUCAUCCUUGGAUGUUCUUUCCUGACAUUAUCCCACUAGGACAUCCUAUAUUCGACAUUAUCGAGUCAACAAAUCCCGAGACAGAUUGGGAUUUAAGAUUAGCCUGCCUUCUUCUCUAUGCAUUUGAUGUAGAAAACAACUUUUGGCAGUUAUACGGUGAUUUUUUGCCUAGUGGUGAUGAAUGCACCAGCUUGCUUCUGGCACCGAAGGAGGAUCUAAUGGAACUGGAAGACGAAGAUCUGUCCUCAGAGAUGUUAAAACGCCAGCAGCGAGCAGUUGAUUUUUGGCAGAAACACUGGCACAAAGCAAUCCCUCUCAAGCUAAAGCGGCUUGCCCCUGACCACGAAAGAUUUCUCUGGGCAUUGAGCAUUGUUCAGUCUCGCUCUUUCAACUUGAAUAUGAGAAUGGGAGCUUUCAUUCAAGAUGCAAAUGUCCUAGCUCCUUAUGCCGAUAUGCUAAAUCACUCACCUGAUGCUAACUGUUUCCUGCAUUGGCGUUUCAAAGAUCGAAUGCUUGAAGUUAUGAUUAAGGCGGGGCAUGCCAUCAAAAAAGGAGAUGAGAUGACAAUCGAUUAUAUGAGUGCGGUGAACAGCACGUUGAUGCAAAGAUAUGGCUUCUCAUCACCAACGAACCCCUGGGAACAUAUAAACUUCUCGAGCCCUGCCAAGAUUCACCUGGAUUCCUUCUUAUCGGUCUUCAACAUAGCUGGCUUGCAUGAUGAGCUGUACCACAAUGUUGCAUUGACCUCAGGGGAAAGCACCUUUGUCGACGGAGGAGUGGUGGCGGCAGCGAGGACUCUGCCGACAUGGUCGGACGGCGACCUUCCUGCCAUACCGAGCGUGGAGAGAAAAUCCGCUCAGGCGUUGCAGGAGGAGUGCCGGAAGAUGGCGGAGUCUUUCUCGACCACGAUCCGACAGGACGAGGAGAUUCUAGAUUCCGACGAGCCUAUGAGGAAAACACGCGAAAUCGCGAUCAAGUACCGUUUGCACCGGAAGCUGCUCUUGCAGAAGAUCAUCGACUCGCUGGAGAUCUACCAGGAUCGGAUUCUGUUCUAGCUAGAUGUAUAGUCCUGGAGGGUGCCGGUGUACCUGUAUCGAGCGAAGACCGUACCAGGUCUAGGUUUCUAGUGUCCCAAGUGUUCUGAAGGGCGUUUGCAGCACCACCACACCACCCUUAGAUGAUUUUGAAGGGCUUGAGAAGCCUAGGUUCAUACUACAUAGUAGGUUACUACUAGGUGACAGUAGGAGGAUCCCAGAAAGAUAAUGACAAGUGUCAAGUGUCGCCAAGGCAUGUCGGAGCUGGCACCAUUGCUGUUGGAAGAGGAGGGAUUCACAAGCACAUAGUUGCCCCACCUGUCAGGAUAGGUAAACGCGUCUCGAUUUCUCGAGCAACGGGUUACCUGUUCCAUUUUAAAUGUGAUUCAUGCUGAUGCUUCCGUGUAAGAUAUCAUCUGUGCAAAAUGGAAUAAGCAAAGGCAUCAACUUAAUCGACGCCGAUCGAUACCAGAAUAACUGUUCAAGAAAGUUAAUCUUCGUCUCCAUGGUGCCCCACUACGGAAGAAAAAAAGAAGUGUCUAUGUUUUGCCGAGUCCUUUUUUCGGCCUUCGCCGGAUCUUUUAUGCACUCAGCAAACAAUGUUUUUCAUGCAGUGCCCAGACGUUCCCUGCUCGGAACAUCUCAUAUGCACUGCGCUCUAGUGGUCAUGGCGUUAGCGUUGCAGCUCCAAUUUUGCGCCACCCGCGGGUUAAUUACUCCACCAGUUAAUUCACAAACUGUUAUGC